UGUAUGGGUUAGUGGCGGACGGGUGAGUAACGCGUGGGUAACCUGGCCUGUACAGGGGGAUAACACUUAGAAAUAGGUGCUAAUACCGCAUAACGGGGGAAGCCGCAUGGCUUUUCCCUGAAAACUCCGGUGGUACAGGAUGGGCCCGCGUCUGAUUAGCCAGUUGGCAGGGUAACGGCCUACCAAGGCGACGAUCAGUAGCCGGACUGAGAGGUUGGCCGGCCACAUUGGGACUGAGAUACGGCCCAGACUCCUACGGAAGGCAGCAG
Molecule: ribosomal RNA, 269 nt
Filed under: uncultured bacterium
Lineage: Bacteria
Description: partial 16S ribosomal RNA
Rfam family: Bacterial small subunit ribosomal RNA
Source: RNAcentral